UGGGGAAUAUUGGGCAAUGGGCGCAAGCCUGACCCAGCAACGCCGCGUGAGGGAAGAAGGUUUUCGGAUUGUAAACCUCUGUCGCAAGGGACGAAUAAAUGACGGUACCUUGCAAGAAAGCCCCGGCUAACUACGUGCCAGCAGCCGCGGUAAUACGUAGGGGGCGAGCGUUGUCCGGAAUUAUUGGGCGUAAAGGGAGCGUAGGCGGCGUAUCAAGUCAGAUGUGAAAUACCAGGGCUCAACCCUGGGGCUGCAUUUGAAACUGGUAUGCUUGAGUGUAGGAGAGGAAAGUGGAAUUCCUAGUGUAGCGGUGAAAUGCGUAGAUAUUAGGAGGAACACCAGUGGCGAAGGCGACUUUCUGGACUAUAACUGACGCUGAGGCUCGAAAGCGUGGGGAGCAAACA
RNAcentral lists this ribosomal RNA (404 nucleotides) under uncultured Bacillota bacterium. RNAcentral describes it as "uncultured Firmicutes bacterium partial 16S ribosomal RNA". It matches the Rfam family "Bacterial small subunit ribosomal RNA", at positions 355 to 774 of the family's 1533-position model. Lineage: Bacteria; Bacillati; Bacillota. The record is from RNAcentral.